CCCUUAGAUGUCCUGGGCCGCACACGCGCUACACUGAAGGAGGCAGCGUGUACUCCUGGAUCGAAAGAUUUGGGUAACCCGCGAAUCUCCUUCGUGCUAGGGAUUGAGGUUUGCAAUUAUCCUUCAUGAACGAGGAAUUCCCAGUAAGUGCAAGUCAUAAGCUUGCGCUGACUACGUCCCUGCCCUUUGUACACACCGCCCGUCGCUACUACCGAUUGAAUGAUUUAGUGAGGACUUCGGACUGGGACCGAUGCGGCUUUCGGGCUGCGUCGGUAUUCUGGAAAGAUGUCCAAACUGUAUCAUUUAGAGGAAGUAAAANUCGUAACA
This 327-nucleotide ribosomal RNA is filed under the name uncultured eukaryote. RNAcentral's name for it is "partial 18S ribosomal RNA". It matches the Rfam family "Eukaryotic small subunit ribosomal RNA", at positions 1470 to 1796 of the family's 1831-position model. The record is from RNAcentral.